UACGGGGGGGGCAAGCGUUGUUCGGAAUUACUGGGCGUAAAGGGUUCGCAGGCGGCCAACUAAGUCAGACGUGAAAUCCCUCGGCUUAACCGGGGAACUGCGUCUGAUACUGGAUGGCUUGAAUCCGGGAGAGGGAUGCGGAAUUCCAGGUGUAGCGGUGAAAUGCGUAGAUAUCUGGAGGAACACCGGUGGCGAAGGCGGCAUCCUGGACCGGCAUUGACGCUGAGGAGCGAAAGCCAGGGGAGCAAACGGG
Molecule: ribosomal RNA, 253 nt
Filed under: uncultured bacterium
Lineage: Bacteria
Description: partial 16S ribosomal RNA
Rfam family: Bacterial small subunit ribosomal RNA
Source: RNAcentral